Bombyx mori (domestic silkworm) is the source of this 3371-nucleotide long non-coding RNA. RefSeq lists it as uncharacterized. The record is from RefSeq and is a predicted model, not a curated record. NCBI's taxonomy places the organism in Eukaryota, Metazoa, Arthropoda, Insecta, Lepidoptera, Bombycidae. The transcript has 2 exons.
GAGUAACAAUGUAUAGGUCACCUUGUCCUUGCAAUCCCAAGUAAAAUUAGAUUAGAUGCGUAAUAGGAGAAGAAAUAAAAGAUUUGCUUAUUGAACAAUCGUGUAAUAAAAUUAUGUAAUUAAAUCCUAUUUUUUGUUCCUUGCAUUUAAAUGGCACUGCAAAAUAAAUAAAUAAAAUAUUAUUACGUGAAUUUGCAGGGUUUUAAUAAUACCGCGCGUCAUCAAAGCUAAGUUUUUGUAUUUUCAUUUUUAAAUCAUUGAACACGCGAUUUUAUGAUAACCAAUGUAUAAAAAGUUGAUUCGUCUCGUAACGUAGAAAAACACACACAGAAGGUAAAAACUGUUCACGAUUGACUUCCAUGGUGAAGGAAUAACAUCGUGUAAUAAAAAUCAAACUCGCAAAAUUAUAAUUUGCGUAAUUACUCGUGGUAGGACCUCUUUUGAGUCCGCACGGGUAGGUACCACCGCCCUGCUUAUUUCUGCCGUGAAGCAGUAAUGCGUUUCGAUUUGAAGGGUGGGGCAGCCGUUGUAACUAUACUGAGACCUUAGAGCUUAUAUCUCAAGGUGGGUGGCGCAUUUACGCUGUAGAUUUCUAUGGGCUUCAGUAACCACUUAACACCAGGUGGGCUGUGAGCUCGUCCACCCAUGUAAGCAAUAAAAAAAUUUUGAAAAAUAAUAAUUACGUUCUAUAAAAAUAAUAUUAAUAGAAUACACAUUUUAACGUUAUAAUAUUUUCAAAUACAAGGAAACAAGUAUAAGCCUCGAAACACUGAUAAAUGGCACUGAAAGCAAACACGCAAUCGAUAUUACGCAAUUCUCCGUCGACGGACCCAGCAGCAGCAUUUCAUUGAAACGGUCAAUAUGAUCUUACCAAACAUUUCAUAAUACGGUGUUUUAAGUAACUACAAACACGGGCAGGCAGGCGGCUUUGAACUUGACCCUUGGGUUUCGCAAGCGCCGCCCCUCUGCUGCAAUUCGUAACGCAGCCAGUUAAUCUUGCAAACAGCGCGCUGACGAGUGCACGUUUCUGUACAUAACACACGAACAUGUUCCCGAAUCCGUUCGACAGAAAACAUUCGACGAUCCGACAGAUGUUGGAUAGGAUUUUCAAAGAAUCGAAAAUGAGCGUCGGCAGAAAGAACGGACUGUCAAGAAAGGGCAGCAACACAUCGUCCUGUUCGAACGCCUCGACAAUCUCCGACAAUAGGAAAGUGUUCGGAUUCGUUCGCAGUUAAAGUCCGUUCUAAGUGUUUAAUUUAACUGUCUCGUUUUGUGCAACAAACCCGUUCACAGUCUGCUAGUCAUCGUUUGUGUUUCGCCAUUUAUUAUUACGGUGUGCGACUUUACGACAUGGACUGAAAAAAUUUAAAAUUAAUUUUAUAAGUAAGAUAGCAAUAAAAUUUAUAAGAAAUAUGAUACAUAAUAUAAAUGUAGUAUACAAAUUAUUUUAUAUUUUUUCUUGACAGAAAAGCUAGUAGUGCCACUGAAUUUUAUUUUAAAUUUUAAAUAUACUCUUAAAAUUAGGGUUACGUCUUUUUAUUCAUUUGUCUAUCCCUCUUAUUAAAGUUAAAAAUUAAGAUUUAAGUUACUUUACGCCUUAAGAAAUGUUCAAGCUCAUACAAAAACUAUUAAUUCAUACACAUGUAUAUCUUAACAUCAAACGCGAGUUAAAACUGAGGCGUAACCCUACCUUUUUUUUAAGAAAGAAGGAUUUCUGGUUGCCUGAAGGCUUUUCCAACUUCAUCAGGGCAGGUUUACGAGCAAAGGCUCAGCCAAGAGGUGUGAGAUUUGCUAACAGCUGUCCGAGCGUCUCCAAAAGAGAUCUAACAACUCAAGAGUAGCUGCUUCGCGAAUGAAUAUACUACCGGAUCGGAAUCGCGACCCGCUGAGAAGAUCCGGCAAGAAACUCAGCGGGCUGAUAUAUGGGUUAGGUUGCACGUCGAACUCUUUGCCAAGUUCAACGAGUACGGUUACCGGGGCACCCUAAUUAAUAAAUCCGCGACGUCUGGAGAAUGCGUAUUAUUGCGUAUGAUCGAUAGCCCAUUGUGUGCUUCAGAGGCUGCAAGCAAGAAUCAAUGUACUUGCAGCAAUACUGCCUUGAACUUAGACCGUGAAUUUUAAAAAUUCGAGUUUCCUCUCAAUGUAGCGAGUACUAGAUUUCUUUGUAGCACUAUUCUAAUAACCAUUCGAAGGAUUCCAUUAAUUUCUAAAACGUCUUAUAAUAAUAUUCCACGAAAGGCAUUAUUGUCGUUUAAAAAAUUAGAUCAAGUAAGUUAAAUAACUGAUCAAGGAAUCUUUAAGCUUUCAAUUAUCGAGUCGCCAUAUGCAAAUUGUUAAGAGAACAAAAUUCAACACAAUGUCAAUGUCAAUGCAGACGAGAAUUAAAUUCUCUGAAAGCUGUCAAGGUUCGUAAUUUAUUCGCUCAAGUAUAAUACGACGGUCGUGAUAUGAUUAUUAAACCAAAAUAUGUGAACUGCUGAAAUUCCAAUGCAUAAUUCAUGCAGCGUUUCCUCAAAUAUGUUUUUGCCCAUAAAUAAAAUGUUUUGUUAAAUGUUACAUUUUAUUUAUGUUUCUUAAAUGAACUACACCACAUUAAUUCAUUGAUAAUUUCUACAGUUUUUUUUUUAAAUACCCACAGAAUAUGUUAUUGUUAUAUUAUAAUAUCACUAUAGAAUACCUUAACAGCCGGACUUUCUUCACAGUUCGGACGGGGCCCUAAGAUUAGAGAGAAGGUGAUAAGUAAUUUGUAUUUUACAACAUGGUACUUGAUUUAUAAGAUUUUUUUGAAUAUAGUACGCAGGGAAUGUUGGAAGAAAAAUAAAAAGCGUCGACUCGUAAAAAUAUUUGCUAAUUUUGAUAAACUCACUGAUGCUAUAUAGCUACUACCAGAUUUCACAGACAACAUAAAACUAUAAGGGCCCGCCUUCUUUUUUCAAUCGCAUUAUUCUUUAUAUUAUCUGUGCACAAUAAAUUAAACGUUUAGAAAUACCUUAUUUCCUAAUCAAUACAGAAUGUUAAUAAUUAAAUGAUAUAUUAUACGUCAAGCGAAUUUAUUAAUAAAAAUAAAUACGAUUAAUAGUUUAACAGUGUUAUUUAAAAAAAUCAAUGAAUUCGCAAAUUCCACAGUAAAGCAAGCUGAUUGUUUUUUUUUUCGGUAUAUUAUUACUGCAAUGUUGUUACCUGCUACAGAUGCUCUAAGAUUAUAUUAUUAGUUUUAAGUCAUACUAAGCUUUAAUGUGGUCUAUGUGUUCUUUCUGCUUGUCAAAGUAGGUAUAAACUAAAAACGAGAAUUUGUAUCUACGUAAGAAUCUUAAUAAUAAUUUAGCGUUAGCCAUAUUGUAUUACGAUAUAAUAAAUAAUAAAUAUGUUAA